This 230-nucleotide ribosomal RNA is filed under the name uncultured bacterium. Its description in RNAcentral is "partial 16S ribosomal RNA". It matches the Rfam family "Bacterial small subunit ribosomal RNA", at positions 28 to 258 of the family's 1533-position model. The record is from RNAcentral.
GACGAACGCUGGCGGCGUGCUUAACACAUGCAAGUCGAGCGGUAAGGCCCUUCGGGUACGACGAGCGGCGAACGGGUGAGUAACACGUGGGUGACCUGCCCUCAGCUCUGGGAUAAGCCUGGGAAACCGGGGUACGUAAUACCGGAUAUGACUCCAUGACGCAUGUUGUGGGGUGGAAAGCCUUGUGCGGCUGAGGAUGGGCCCGCGGCCUAUCAGCUUGUUGGUGGGGU